GAUUAACGCUAGCGGCAGGCAUAAUACAUGCAGGUUGAACGGCAGCACAGGUAGCAAUACUGGGUGGCGAGUGGCGCACGGGUGCGUAACACGUAUGCAACCUACCCUAUACAGGCGAAUAACCUUUAGAAAUGAGGGCUAAUACGCCGUAGUAUUACAGAUGGGCAUCUAUUUGUAAUUAAAGAUUUAUCGGUAUAGGAUGGGCAUGCGUCCCAUUAGUUAGUUGGUAAGGUAACGGCUUACCAAGACGAUGAUGGGUAGGGGAUCUGAGAGGACUUACCCCCACACUUGUACUGAGACACGGACCAGACUCCUACGGGAGGCAGCAGUAAGGAAUAUUGGGCAAUGGCCGCGAGGCUGACCCAGCCAUGCCGCGUGCAGGAAGACGGCCUUAUGGGUUGUAAACUGCUUUUAUACGGGAAUAAUAGAGUGUACGCGUACAUUUAUGCAAGUAUCGUAUGAAUAAGCAUCGGCUAACUCCGUG
This 484-nucleotide ribosomal RNA is filed under the name uncultured bacterium. RNAcentral's name for it is "partial 16S ribosomal RNA". It matches the Rfam family "Bacterial small subunit ribosomal RNA", at positions 28 to 507 of the family's 1533-position model. The record is from RNAcentral.